GUACGGAGGAUCCGAGCGUUAUCCGGAUUUAUUGGGUUUAAAGGGUGCGCAGGCGGCCAUUUAAGUCAGUGGUUAAAUCGUGGGGCUCAACCCCAUUCUGCCGUUGAUACUGGGUGGCUUGAUUGCGGUCGAGGUUGGCGGAAUUCGUUGUGUAGCGGUGAAAUGCAUAGAUAUGACGAAGAACACCGAUUGCGUAGGCAGCUGACCAGACCGCAAAUGACGCUCAUGCACGAAAGUGCGGGGAUCGAACAGGAUUAGAUACCCUGGUAGUCCGCACAGUAAACGAUGAAUACUUGUUUUCGGCGAUAUAAUGUCGGAGGCAAAGCGAAAGCGAUAAGUAUUCCACCUGGGGAGUACGCCGGCAACGGUGAAACUCAAAUGAAUUGGCGGGG
This 392-nucleotide ribosomal RNA is filed under the name uncultured bacterium. RNAcentral describes it as "partial 16S ribosomal RNA". It matches the Rfam family "Bacterial small subunit ribosomal RNA", at positions 523 to 918 of the family's 1533-position model. The record is from RNAcentral.